This 1169-nucleotide long non-coding RNA is filed under the name Echeneis naucrates (live sharksucker). RNAcentral describes it as "lncRNA (ENSENLG00000019752.1)". Lineage: Eukaryota; Metazoa; Chordata; Actinopteri; Carangiformes; Echeneidae. The record is from RNAcentral.
CUAUAAAUGCUGACAUCCUCUGUAUCUGCUUGAUAACCAGAAAGACCUAGAGAAUGGUUUCCAUAGCGCGAAGACGGAUUAUUCUUAUUAUUCAGUCAUGAGCCUUGUUAUCCUCUGAUGGUUCGUCUGACUCAUCCAGUGCUGAAAAACUCAUGGGCCCCUCCAUAUGAGCUGGCUUCCACGUCACCUCUUAGUUACCCAUACUCCUCUGGGGUCCCAGAUGAAAUACGUCCAGAUGGAUUGUCCAGUAAGCAUGUGGUGUUCAGCUGGCUGACCCACCAGGUGGACUGUGGUUUUUAUGGGCCUUCACCAGGGAAGAGGUUAGUAACGAAGCAGAUUAAUGCCAUGACACUGCCCACUCCCCACAUGUCAACAGCUUCUUUGUGGAUCUUGCCUGCCACCAUUUGUGAAGGGAUCAAAUCCAGACACAAAGGCGACUUUUCCGAAGACGCCUUCCCCAUUGAAUUCCAACACCUCGUAGCAGGUGAGACCUCCUGUCUCUAAUUGAAUACCUGAAGAUAUUUUUGCACAGGAAAUGUUUCAAAUGCGUUUGAAAGGUCACAGACUUGACUAAGUUCUAUAUAUCUAAAACUUUGAUGAUGUCGUAGAUGUUGUCCCCAGGCAGCUUUGAACAUGAUGCAUCAAAGGCAAGAGGUGGAAAAGUCAAAGGAAAAGUCCUCCUUCACAACUAACUAACAAGUUCAGUGCACAUAUAGAGUGCAAAUAUCCCCUUCAGGCUUAAUGUUCUUGCUCACAUGUUCUCUUAACAUGUAAUUAUUGUACCGGGUCAAAGCGGCAGCUCAGGAAACCUCAUGAUUUCUACUCCUGGAUGUGCAUUCAUAGUGAGUCCUUUUAAAGAGGUCAGGAGUUAAUAGGAUGUAAAUAUGGCACAUUAGUGAGAUUUCAUGACUCUGAUACUUACAUUUGCCAGAUCCAAUGACGCAUAUAUGAGUUCAUGCCAAACUCAUCUAUAAAGUUGUUAACCUUUGAGAGCGAGUAUGGGGGUACACUAUGUGAUGGAAACUCACAGCUCUGAGGAGCUGAUCUAUCUCACGCACUUACAUUUAUACUGAAACUCUGCCGGGCGCUGCAGACAGACCCAUUGCACAAAUUGUCUCCUCUAUUUGCUUUUCUGCUUCCUGUUUAAAUGCAGCUCAGGCAGGAGAGUG